UGCGCCUUGCCAGCCCGCUCAGAAACUUAAAUGAAGUUGACGGGGGCCCGCACAAGCGGCGGAGCAUGCGGAUUAAUUCGAUGCAACGCGAAGAACCUUACCAAGGCUUGACAUAUACCGGAAACUUCCAGAGAUGGUUGCCCCUUUUAGGUCGGUAUACAGGUGGUGCAUGGUUGUCGUCAGCUCGUGUCGUGAGAUGUUGGGUUAAGUCCCGCAACGAGCGCAACCCUCGUUCUAUGUUGCCAGCACGUAAUGGUGGGGACUCAUGGAAGACUGCCGGGGUCAACUCGGAGGAAGGUGGGGAUGACGUCAAAUCAUCAUGCCCCUUAUGUCUUGGGCUUCACGCAUGCUACAAUGGCCGGUACAAAGGGCUGCGAUACCGCAAGGUGGAGCGAAUCCCAAAAAACCGGUCUCAGUUCGGAUUGGGGUCUGCAACUCGACUGCAUGAAGUUGGAAUCGCUAGUAAUCGUGGAUCAGCCAAGCCGCGGUGAAUACGUUCCCGGGCCUU
RNAcentral lists this ribosomal RNA (508 nucleotides) under uncultured Janibacter sp. RNAcentral's name for it is "bacterial SSU rRNA". It matches the Rfam family "Bacterial small subunit ribosomal RNA", at positions 903 to 1382 of the family's 1533-position model. Lineage: Bacteria; Bacillati; Actinomycetota; Actinomycetes; Micrococcales; Intrasporangiaceae. The record is from RNAcentral.